GUUUCCAUAGUGUAGUGAUUAUCACGUUCACCUAACAAACAAAAGGUCCUUAAUUCAAAACCAGGCAGAAGCA
Molecule: non-coding RNA, 73 nt
Organism: Albula goreensis
Lineage: Eukaryota; Metazoa; Chordata; Actinopteri; Albuliformes; Albulidae
Source: the annotation of a GenBank genome assembly